AUAUGACCGGUGUACAAUCUAUUC
RNAcentral lists this non-coding RNA (24 nucleotides) under Arabidopsis thaliana (thale cress). The record is from RNAcentral. Lineage: Eukaryota; Viridiplantae; Streptophyta; Magnoliopsida; Brassicales; Brassicaceae.